CUGAAAAGGAGGGAUGGAUAGAAAACUCAGAAACGCAGGCCCAAGCCCUAGCGAGCGAACAAAUAUAGAGAUCGAAGAAGAAGAGAACAAAAACUACUAAGCUCCGAUCAUGGCGUUCACUUCACGUCUUCUAUCCAGAUCCAAACAGCUGUAUGGCAGUCAAGUCAUUCUGCAACAGGAGCAUGUUAUUCCAGUCCGUUAUUUUGCCAAAAAAUCUGAACCUCCAGCUCUUUCAGCUCUCAAGGGAGAUGAGAUGCUAAAGAACAUCUUUCUGGAUGUCAAGAAGAAAUUUGAGACAGCCAUCGCAAUACUUAGGAAGGAGAAGAUCACCAUAGAUCCUAAUGAUCCAGCUGCUGUGAAUCAAUAUGCGAAGGUCAUGAAGACAAUUAGAGAGAAGGCUGAUUUGUUCUCUGAGUCACAGAG
Molecule: unclassified non-coding RNA, 423 nt
Filed under: Hevea brasiliensis (rubber tree)
Lineage: Eukaryota; Viridiplantae; Streptophyta; Magnoliopsida; Malpighiales; Euphorbiaceae
Source: RNAcentral